This 492-nucleotide ribosomal RNA is filed under the name uncultured bacterium. Its description in RNAcentral is "bacterial SSU rRNA". It matches the Rfam family "Bacterial small subunit ribosomal RNA", at positions 28 to 529 of the family's 1533-position model. The record is from RNAcentral.
GAUGAACGCUAGCGGCAGGCCUAAUACAUGCAAGUCAAGGGGCCAGCAAUGGCACCGGCGCACGGGUGCGUAACACGUACACAACAUACCUUUAAGUGGGAGAUAGCAUCGGGAAACUGGUGGUAAUACCCCAUAAUAUUGCGAUGCGGCAUCACAUUGCAAUUAAAGUUUCGACGCUUAAAGAUUGGUGUGCGUCCGAUUAGCUAGUUGGCGGGGUAACGGCCCACCAAGGCUACGAUCGGUAGGGGGUGUGAGAGCAUGACCCCCCCACAUGGGUACUGAGACACGGACCCAACUCCUACGGGAGGCAGCAGUAAGGAAUAUUGGACAAUGGACGAAAGUCUGAUCCAGCCAUGCCGCGUGCAGGAUGAAGGCGCUCAGCGUUGUAAACUGCUUUUUGGAUGGGAAUAAUAACCUCGACGUGUCGGGGCUUGAAGGUACCAUCAGAAUAAGCACCGGCUAACUCCGUGCCAGCAGCCGCGGUAAAGUCGA